Molecule: transfer RNA, 72 nt
Filed under: Siphoviridae sp. ct4be24
Lineage: Duplodnaviria; Heunggongvirae; Uroviricota; Caudoviricetes
Description: tRNA-Gln
Rfam family: tRNA
About the family: Transfer RNA (tRNA) molecules are approximately 80 nucleotides in length. Their secondary structure includes four short double-helical elements and three loops (D, anti-codon, and T loops). Further hydrogen bonds mediate the characteristic L-shaped molecular structure. tRNAs have two regions of fundamental functional importance: the anti-codon, which is responsible for specific mRNA codon recognition, and the 3' end, to which the tRNAs corresponding amino acid is attached (by aminoacyl-tRNA synthetases). tRNAs cope with the degeneracy of the genetic code in two manners: having more than one tRNA (with a specific anti-codon) for a particular amino acid; and 'wobble' base-pairing, i.e. permitting non-standard base-pairing at the 3rd anti-codon position.
Source: RNAcentral
AGGGCUAUCGCCAAGCGGUAAGGCAUCGCACUUUGACUGCGAAAUUCAUCAGUUCGAAUCUGAUAUGCCCUG